RNAcentral lists this unclassified non-coding RNA (328 nucleotides) under Hevea brasiliensis (rubber tree). Lineage: Eukaryota; Viridiplantae; Streptophyta; Magnoliopsida; Malpighiales; Euphorbiaceae. The record is from RNAcentral.
GGAAAGAUAACCUACGUGGAAAAAUAAGUUAAGGUCAAAAUCUUCCACUAAUGUAUACAAUCAAAAAUAUAAAAAUAAAAUCCAUAUUUUAGCACUACUUUAGGGGUGAGAACAUCAAUUUUAACAUCAGUAUAUUGGCAUUCCAUUAUCUCGUACAAAAAAUAGGUGACAAGGACCUUAAAAAUCUAAAUCAAAAUGUUGAGGCUAUCUUUUGGAUGCUUGUGCAACUGCCUAAAACUGCUUGUUAAAAGAGAUCUUAGCUGGAUAAAUUAGACGCUGUUUUAGGUUAACAGUUGUCAUAAUGUCUACAAAAAUGGUUUAAGAUGAC